UGCAGUCGACGAUGAAGCCUCACUUGUGGGGUGGAUUAGUGGCGAACGGGUGAGUAACACGUGAGCAACCUGCCCCUGACUCUGGGAUAAGCGCUGGAAACGGCGUCUAAUACUGGAUACGAGUAGUGAUCGCAUGGUCAGCUACUGGAAAGAUUUUUUGGUUGGGGAUGGGCUCGCGGCCUAUCAGCUUGUUGGUGAGGUAAUGGCUCACCAAGGCGUCGACGGGUAGCCGGCCUGAGAGGGUGACCGGCCACACUGGGACUGAGACACGGCCCAGACUCCUACGGGAGGCAGCAGUGGGGAAUAUUGCACAAUGGGCGGAAGCCUGAUGCAGCAACGCCGCGUGAGGGAUGACGGCCUUCGGGUUGUAAACCUCUUUUAGCAGGGAAGAAGCGUGAGUGACGGUACCUGCAGAAAAAGCGCCGGCUAACUACGUGCCAGCAGCCGCGGUAAUACGUAGGGCGCAAGCGUUAUCCGGAAUUAUUGGGCGUAAAGAGCUCGUAGGCGGUUUGUCGCGUCUGCUGUGAAAUCCCGAGGCUCAACCUCGGGCCUGCAGUGGGUACGGGCAGACUAGAGUGCGGUAGGGGAGAUUGGAAUUCCUGGUGUAGCGGUGGAAUGCGCAGAUAUCAGGAGGAACACCGAUGGCG
This 647-nucleotide ribosomal RNA is filed under the name Microbacterium sp. 11431. RNAcentral's name for it is "bacterial SSU rRNA". It matches the Rfam family "Bacterial small subunit ribosomal RNA", at positions 56 to 717 of the family's 1533-position model. The record is from RNAcentral. Lineage: Bacteria; Bacillati; Actinomycetota; Actinomycetes; Micrococcales; Microbacteriaceae.